AGCCAAGUUGUCUUUGUAUGCAUUGCUUGUUCCUUUUAAGUUCUGGAUCAGAAGGAUGAAUACUUUCAAGUAAACAAAAUGUCAACAAAACAUAAUGGAUAUUUUGUAAACAAUGGAAAAUUAGAGCAAAUAUAAGCUGAGUCAAGCAUCAA
Zingiber officinale is the source of this 152-nucleotide long non-coding RNA. RefSeq lists it as uncharacterized. The record is from RefSeq and is a predicted model, not a curated record. The transcript is spliced from 3 exons. Lineage: Eukaryota; Viridiplantae; Streptophyta; Magnoliopsida; Zingiberales; Zingiberaceae.